This is a long non-coding RNA of Patella vulgata (common limpet), 2080 nucleotides long. RefSeq lists it as uncharacterized. The transcript has 9 exons. NCBI's taxonomy places the organism in Eukaryota, Metazoa, Mollusca, Gastropoda, Patellidae. The record is from RefSeq and is a predicted model, not a curated record.
AAUGGGGCCUUCUAAUCUUGCAAUUUUUAUUCUAUUUCAUGUUAUUUCUAUUAUUGUAAGGACAAAUUUUCAUUUCAACAACGCUUAACAUGUUUAGAAUGAACAUUGAACAAAUUAAGAAUUUGAUACGUCCACCUAGCAACCGUCAUUAUGACAUCGUUUGGUGUCGCCACUGUAUGCGCAGCUAUCCACGCAAUUACUGCUCACGGCCGGAAGUUUAUACUGUUUUACGACAACAAUUACGAAUAACGGCAUUGGCACAACCGGCUAAAAGAUGUCAGAUUCAAUUGCCAAAUCGAAAGCUCUGAAUCUUUUAAAGCAGGCCGCACAGGCACUUACCGAAGUAUCAGAAUCCCAACAAACAGAUAAUAUUAAGAAUAAUAAACCCGAAAUACAUGUACCAACCUCACAUGCUCCACCCAUGGCAUCAGAAAUCAAGAAGCUUUUUUCCCCGUACAGUAGUUACAGCAGGCCUGGCACUAGGCCUAGUACUAAGAAACAUUUCCCUGCCACUGUCACUUCAGUCAGUGGGCCUGUGAGUUUUUGGACGCACAGGUUCUCUGUAAUAAUUGACAAAGACCAGAAUUUUGUACCUACUAGAGAACAAAAGAAAGAAUCAUUUGAAAAUGGACUGGGUGAGAAAAAAGUAACAUUUGAAAAAAAUGACAACCCUCUGUACUUUAAAGAAAAAUUGGAAAGUGUAUUUCCGGCACUCAAGCCCUGCGGUGGAUAUGAACUUCUGCGAACAGAAUUUGGCAGCAGAUGGUCUUUGGAACUAAUGAUUCAGCCAUCUACGGGCUUCCACACAAACUAUUUAGCAAAUGAGAGCUGUUUGGGCCAAGCAAUGUGCUAUGCAAGGCCAAUCCAAAGGAAUUUGGCCUUUGCCAGUGUAUCUGUAGAAGGUGAUGAUUUUAGCUGCCUCUCUUCUUGUUGUAUUUCGUUAUGAUUGACGUCUGUAUCUCUGCUGCUUUGGGAAUAUGGGCUGCAGUUGCAAUGGAUGCUUAAGGACAGACUUGGGAACAUUCACUUGAUUGCAAUGUUUUGUGUGUACUGAUGUGUCUUAUGUAUUGGUUUGUCUUUUUGGACUUUAUUCAGCUAUGUGUGGUGUUGUUCUUCUGUACUUUAAAUUACCCAUUGUAAUUCUAGGACUUGUCUCAGGGACCAACUGAAGUAUGUAUAAUAUGCAAUGAUGAAAUACCCUUAAAGAAUUUGAGGAGGCAUGUAGAGGAUUGUGAUAAAAAUUGUAACAAUGAUGAUAAUGACCUAGAUAUUUUACCAGAGAUCAAUUUUAAGCCAAUGAAGAAGUCGCAACAACCAAUAUGCAAGUAUACUUGUGUACCGAAUCAACUAUGUUCAGUGUCCGCUGUGUCAAGACAGUUUUAAUAAAGAUGUCAUAGAAAUUCAUUCUUCAACCUGCAAUGGUCUGAGUGAAAGUGCUGGGGAGAAUGACAAACAAUCAGAAGUUGUGACUGCCUUAAGUAUAAGAAGCGAAGAUGAAAAUGUACAUCGUGAACGGUGCCUAAAAGAAACACUAUUGGAAAUGUGUGAUAUAAAAAGUCCGGAUCUCAUUAUAAGUACAUAUAGCAAGAAAUUUAUUAGAGGGAAGAAAAUGGAUGUACUUGAAGAAGAUUAUGACAGCAAGGAGAAUACAGCUUUUGAAAUAUUCAUAUCACGUGAUGAUAUUUUUAAUGACAUGUUAUCAGAGUUUUCCAGAAAUGUAGAUAUAUCCUAUUUGCUAGACGUCACUUUCAUUGGUGAAGAGGCAUCUGACAUGGGAGGACCCAGACGAGAAUUUCUUACAUUAGCUCUGCAAGCCAUUAAAGAAAGAUUGAUAAAAGAUGGCUAUUUAGUAUCUGAGAAGGAUAUUGGACAUGAAGCAUACUUGACAUUGCUUCACAAAAAGGCUUUUGAAAUUGCUGGAAUUGUUGUUGGAUUGUCUUUAUUAGAAGGUGGACCAGUGCCUUAUUUGUUAAAUGAUCCAAGGGGAGUUCUUCUGACCCCAGACACACAAGAAAUGAAACAAUUUAGUAUUGGAUUGAAAAGAAUUGGCAUUUUGCAGGUAUUAAAGUUUAAUGUGUUA